Molecule: small nuclear RNA, 23 nt
Filed under: Arabidopsis thaliana (thale cress)
Lineage: Eukaryota; Viridiplantae; Streptophyta; Magnoliopsida; Brassicales; Brassicaceae
Description: snRNA_07910
Source: RNAcentral
UUGCUACUUCACCAAGCUUCUGU